GAUGAGCGCUAGCGGCAGGCUUAACACAUGCAAGUCGAGGGGCAGCGUGACGGUUAGCAAUAACUGUUGACGGCGACCGGCGCAAGGGUGCGUAACGCGUGAGCAACUUGCCCGUUUCUGGAGGAUAACCGGUGGAAACGCCGACUAAUACUCCAUAGCAUAUACGAGAGGCAUCUUUUGUAUAUUAAAGAAUUUUGGAAACGGAUAGGCUCGCGCGACAUUAGCUAGUUGGCGGGGUAACGGCCCACCAAGGCGACGAUGUCUAGGGGGUUCUGAGAGGAAGGUCCCCCCAACUGGAACUGAGACACGGUCCAGACUCCUACGGGAGGCAGCAGUGAGGAUAUUGGGUCAAUGGUCGAAAGACUGAACCAGCCAUGCCGCGU
Molecule: ribosomal RNA, 383 nt
Filed under: uncultured bacterium
Lineage: Bacteria
Description: bacterial SSU rRNA
Rfam family: Bacterial small subunit ribosomal RNA
Source: RNAcentral